RNAcentral lists this ribosomal RNA (292 nucleotides) under uncultured bacterium. RNAcentral's name for it is "partial 16S ribosomal RNA". It matches the Rfam family "Bacterial small subunit ribosomal RNA", at positions 505 to 796 of the family's 1533-position model. The record is from RNAcentral.
GUGUCAGCCGCCGCGGUAAGACAGAGGAGCCAAGCGUUGUCCGGAGUGACUGGGCGUAAAGCGCACGCAGGCGGUCGUGCACGUGGGGUGUGAAAGCCCCGGGCUCAACAUGGGAAUUGCAUUCGAGACUGCGUAGCUAGGGUGCGGAAGAGGGAAGCGGAAUUUCCGGUGUAGCGGUGAAAUGCGUAGAUAUCGGAAGGAACACCAGUGGCGAAAGCGGCUUCCUGGUCCAGCACCGACGUUCAGGCACGAAAGCGUGGGGAGCAAACCGGAUUAGAUACCCGGGUAGUCC